AGGCGAGGGGGCAGCAAUGUCACCGUCGUACGGGUGCGUAACGCGUAUGCAACCUACCUUCAACUGGGGGAUAGCCCGGGGAAACCCGGAUUAAUACCGCAUAACACAGGGGUACAGCAUUGUACUAUUUGUUAAAGAUUUAUUGGUUGAAGAUGGGCAUGCGUUCGAUUAGCUAGUUGGCAGGGUAACGGCCUACCAAGGCGACGAUCGAUAGGGGAGCUGAGAGGUUGAUCCCCCACACGGGCACUGAGAUACGGGCCCGACUCCUACGGGAGGCAGCAGUAGGGAAUAUUGGGCAAUGGAUGCAAGUCUGACCCAGCCAUGCCGCGUGCCGGAUGAAGGCCCUCAGGGUUGUAAACGGCUUUUAUUCGGGAAGAAGAGCAGGGAUGCGUCCUUGUGUGACGGUACCGAAUGAAUAAGCACCGGCU
RNAcentral lists this ribosomal RNA (428 nucleotides) under Dyadobacter sp. B2H1. RNAcentral describes it as "bacterial SSU rRNA". It matches the Rfam family "Bacterial small subunit ribosomal RNA", at positions 60 to 498 of the family's 1533-position model. Lineage: Bacteria; Pseudomonadati; Bacteroidota; Cytophagia; Cytophagales; Spirosomataceae. The record is from RNAcentral.